This 3236-nucleotide unclassified non-coding RNA is filed under the name Hevea brasiliensis (rubber tree). The record is from RNAcentral. Lineage: Eukaryota; Viridiplantae; Streptophyta; Magnoliopsida; Malpighiales; Euphorbiaceae.
CAAAUUUUCUCUCCCUUGCGUUUCGAUCUCCUUUUCUCGUGUGCGUUUCUUUCUCCGUCCCUCUAUCUCUCUUUGCAUGUUGAUUGCUGCAGUCUGAAGGGGUCUCCAUUACUACCAGCGACUGCGAGGAACUUAAUCUGUAUGGAUUUAUUGGGUUUUUUAUUUUUUUGUGUUCUGUUGUUGAAAAAUAAUAUUAGAAUUGAAAACUAGAUCUGUAUGAAUUUGUUUGUUGCUUGGGUUUCUGUUUCUCUUCCUUUCUUGUGGUAUGGAUUAUAUUUUGAAUUUUUAUUGUAAUGAAUGUCUUUGUCUAUUUAAAAUCCUGAAGAGGUUAACCUAUUGAUUUGAUUUAUUCACCUUUCUACGAAGAACAAAAUUGGUUUGAAGAAGUGAAACAGAAGAACGAGUAAAACUGAUGAGCCAAUAGAUGCUCACCCCUGGGGAAUUGUCUUAGCUCAACCUAUGCGUACAUCCUUGCUUAUGUGUGACUAGGGCUUUUUCCCUUCAAAGUGAGAUGACAUUCUUUUAUUCCCAGCAUGUCUAUGUUUCUUUCUUUUUUUUUUUGGUGUGUUUUCUUCCCUUUAUUUUUUUUUUCUUAUUUAUGUAGAGAAAAUUUUUUGCACUGAUGAAUAGGCUUAGGCAAAUGAAUUGCAUUCAAUCUGGUUUGGCUGACGCGAAGUCCAUUUCCUACCCAUAAUUUGUUUUGUGAUAUACUUUUAGGAGUUCAUUUUUCAACUUAAAAAAUACAAGUAUCAAUGCAACUUGAAGUAUGUAGUCUUGUCAGAUAUUAAAGCGUAGGAUCAAACAUUGGAUACUUUCACAUUUUUGCUUCAUUAUUUCUUAGUGGCACUUACAGGUGUCAAAUCAUUUGAAGCGGCAAUUGUUAUAAAUGAAUGAAUGAUUAGGCAUUUGCAAUGCAUCUAUGAUUCUGAAAAUGGCAGCACUUACCAUGGAAAGAUGGAAAGCAUUUUAUUGUUAGUAAAAUCAGUCAAUAAUUAAGUCAUUUGAUAUAUUUGCUUGCAGGAGAGUCUGAUAACUUCAUAGUCUAUGGAACAAAUGAAUAGCAAUAAAGAUGCUGAAAAUCUUGCAGAAGCGUCAUCCAAAUCACUAUUGUCUGGAAAAAACAAUGUGGAAGCUGAGAAUGCUGGGGAAAUGCCAGAUAAAGCAGAAUCAUCCCAUAAAAGAACCCCCAAGUCACUGAAGGCAAAAUCUAAUAUAAAAAAGAAGUCUUUGGCUAGCAGCUCUUUUAAGGCCACUAAAGCUUUAGGUGAUCGGCGAAGAAACAGGAGGAGGAAGAAUAAGAGUGUAGUACAAGAGAACAAGGAAAGUAACAAAAAUGGGAACAAGAAUGAUCAGAAUCAAAAUUCAAGGGUAGGGAAAUUACAAAAGAAUGGUGCCAAUGAAGAGCACACUGGGAGGGGAAUAGAGACUCAAAAGAGCCAAGCAAGGAUUGCUGGUUCAAGUAGGAGCCAACAUAGCCAAAGGAAUGAUGAGAAGCAAGGUGGUCCUGAUAAGAGCUCAAGGAGUCAAAAGGACAAAGGAAAGCUUGAUGAGGAAAAGAAUCAAGGAGAUGAAAGAAAGAAAGAGAAGCUUGGUGGUUUAAUCUUCAUGUGUAAUGCAAAGACCAAACCAGAUUGUUUUCAUUAUCGAGUCAUGGGUGUGACAGCAAGUAAAAAAGAUGUUGUGCUGGGUGUGAAACCUGGACUUAAGCUUUUCCUGUAUGAUUUUGAUCUCAAACUUAUGUAUGGAAUCUACAAAGCAUCAUCUUCUGGCGGGAUGAAAUUGGAGCCAAAGGCUUUUGGCGGGUCCUUCCCAGUUCAGGUUAUGCUUUAUUUUAUCCUGCCUACUUUUCUAGAUAAUAAUUUUUGUUUUCUUCAUCAAUUUAGUCAGAUUGCGCACUGAUAUUUUUGAAGUUCAGGUACGGUUUGGUAUUCACAAAGAUUGUUUUCCACUCCCUGAGAGUGUUUUCAAGAAGGCCAUAAAGGACAAUUAUGAUGAAAAGAACAAGUUCAAAAUAGAACUUACUGUUCAACAGGUUAGGAAGCUCAGUGCACUUUUCCGACCUGCUGUAUACCAGUCAGUGCCAUCAGCUGCAGUGCCUUUCCAUUCCCCUUCAAUGGCAACUAUUCGGGAUAGGGAAGCCUAUGAGGGUGUAAGAGAGUCACGGCCCCAUUCAGACAGGGAAACAUUUACCAGAGUCAACGGUGAUGGUAGAAGUUAUCCUGUUGUCUCUCGUGAAAGGGAUCAGCAUAUUGAGCUCAGGGAGUUGGUAUCAUCGUAUAGAGAGGAAGCUCCACGUGAUUUAUACAUGAGUGAAAAGGAGUAUCGUACAUAUGGUCUUCAGAGAGAGAGAAGAAACAUGACCUCUCCACAUGGUGCGGCUGGUACUCUAGACCCUUACAAGAGGGAUCUGGAAGGAGAGCACCUUCUCAGACAGCCAGCCCCUCUAUACAACAGUGAUACUAUUCCUUUGCAUAGAGAAUCAUUUCUUGCUGAUCCCCAUUACUUGAGCCAGAGAGAGUUACAGACUUACAAUCUUGGUGGUAGAAGUGAAUUGCCACCUGUGGCAGCAUCUAGUUCUGCUGUUCCUGCGUUGGACUCCUAUUCAAGGGAUCCAUCUUAUUCUUACCGAUAUGGUGCUCCAUCUGUAAAUGCAUAUCUGCUGCCUCCAAGGAGGGAGGAAAUUUCAUCAGGUGCCUAUAAUGUUAAUGGUAGGAGGGAGACUUACUUAGCUGAUGCUGAUCAUUUGCGUAGGAGAGAUACUGAUGAAGUGGAUAAUUUGUACUUGAAGUAUGCUGUUGAUCCGCCAUCAGAUUAUAACCAGGCACGCCAAGCAGUCCAACCAGAAAAUUUGUCAAGGCCUGUUUCAUCUCGUUACGCCUUUGCUGGUUCAUCUCUGUCAUAUCGCUAAGUUCAUGUGACAAAAAAUUCAGUUAUGAACUGUUAAUUUCUUUCGAAUGCUUGCAUUAUCUAUAAACUAUGCUCUUUAAUUCUCUAUUAUACCAUAUUCUUUGCAUUAGAUCAAUAAUUAUCAGUCGAUCAUAUUCAUAUCACUUUUGGGAAGUGUGGCAAGGUUUUCCAAGAAAAUCAGAAUUAAGGAUGUAAACGAGAGCAAGGCUAAGGUAAGUUUGAGCUCAGCCCAAGUAUGUUUUGAACCAUUGGGUAUGAACUCAACUAGGAGCUUGUGAGAGUUCCGGCCUGUCUACUUUUAAAUUAACCCUAGGUCGAUAUCAAUGGAA